CUCUGGCCGCCCUCCCGAAGGAUCCCUGUGGUGCCAGGCAGGAAUGGCCUGCUUGGGGACCCUGCGAACUCCCAGAGCCUUUCCUGCUGCUUCCUCUACCCCUGUAUUUUGCUCGGCUCUCUAAAUUGACUCAGCUCCAGGAGGCUGUAAAAGAAUUCAUUGAGCCUGAAAUAGACGAGUCUUUUAAAGAAGAUGAAGAAGAAAGUAAGGAGGAUAGGAAACUUCAGGAGGAAAAUAAAGAGAGAGCAGAAGAA
This 254-nucleotide long non-coding RNA is filed under the name Homo sapiens (human). Its description in RNAcentral is "HSALNT0018149". Lineage: Eukaryota; Metazoa; Chordata; Mammalia; Primates; Hominidae. The record is from RNAcentral.